This 457-nucleotide long non-coding RNA is filed under the name Panax ginseng (ginseng). Its description in RNAcentral is "long non-coding RNA (PGIN_LNC013245)". The record is from RNAcentral. Lineage: Eukaryota; Viridiplantae; Streptophyta; Magnoliopsida; Apiales; Araliaceae.
ACAAACCAAAACAGACAACAAAUUAGAAAAACAAACCAAAUGGUCCUAUAAUUCCAUCUCAUUUAGUUCAUCAAACCAAUACAGGGUGAAAAUCUCAAUCUUCAUCUCUUUCAUUUUCAUUUGAUCUUCAUCUUCAUUAUCAACCCAAUGGUCCUUGAAUUAUGACAUAUUUUUGUGAAAGAUCUAGAAGGUUCAAACCCAGAUCUAUAAUUGAUGUGACUGAUUUUGGUCUUGAUCACCAUGGAUGUUUAAAUCAAGGGCUCGAUUUGGGUUUGAUCUUACGCUCGGUGUUAGAUCUGUUAUGGGUUUUUUUCUUUAAUUUUUCUAUGUUUGGUGUAUGAGACAAUAGAUGGGUUUGAUCUUAUGCUUGAUUUAUUUGAUUGUGGUUUGGAAUUUAUGGAUGUUGAGAUUUCUGAAAUUCUAGGUUUGGGUUUUUGGUUCUUCCUCUGAUCAUGAU